Molecule: transfer RNA, 67 nt
Filed under: Marmota monax (woodchuck)
Lineage: Eukaryota; Metazoa; Chordata; Mammalia; Rodentia; Sciuridae
Description: tRNA.Ala
Source: RNAcentral
GGUUGUAGCUUAGUGGUAGAGUGCUAGCCUAGCAUAUGUGAGGCACUGAGUUCAAUUCUCAGCACCA